GAUGAACGCUGGCGGCGUGCCUAAUACAUGCAAGUCGAGCGAACGGACGAGAAGCUUGCUUCUCUGAUGUUAGCGGCGGACGGGUGAGUAACACGUGGAUAACCUACCUAUAAGACUGGGAUAACUUCGGGAAACCGUAGCUAAUACCGGAUAAUAUUUUGAACCGCAUGGUUCAAAAGUGAAAGACGGUCUUGCUGUCACUUAUAGAUGGAUCCGCGCUGCAUUAGCUAGUUGGUAAGGUAACGGCUUACCAAGGCAACGAUGCAUAGCCGACCUGAGAGGGUGAUCGGCCACACUGGAACUGAAACACGGUCCAGACUCCUAAGGGAGGCAGCAGUAGGGAAUCUUCCGCAAUGGGCGAAAGCCUGACGGAGCAACGCCGCGUGAGUGAUGAAGGUCUUCGGAUCGUAAAACUCUGUUAUUAGGGAAGAACAUAUGUGUAAGUAACUGUGCACAUCUUGACGGUACCUAAUCAGAAAGCCACGGCUAACUACGUG
Molecule: ribosomal RNA, 497 nt
Filed under: uncultured bacterium
Lineage: Bacteria
Description: partial 16S ribosomal RNA
Rfam family: Bacterial small subunit ribosomal RNA
Source: RNAcentral